Molecule: ribosomal RNA, 529 nt
Filed under: uncultured bacterium
Lineage: Bacteria
Description: bacterial SSU rRNA
Rfam family: Bacterial small subunit ribosomal RNA
Source: RNAcentral
AAUAGAUACCCGGGUAGUCCACGCCGUAAACGAUGAGUGCUAAGUGUUAGAGGGCUUCCACCCUUUAGUGCUGCAGCUAACGCAUUAAGCACUCCGCCUGGGGAGUACGGCCGCAAGGCUGAAACUCAAAGGAAUUGACGGGGGCCCGCACAAGCGGUGGAGCAUGUGGUUUAAUUCGAAGCAACGCGAAGAACCUUACCAGGUCUUGACAUCCUUCGCUACCUCUAGAGAUAGAGGGUUCCCCUUCGGGGGACGGAGUGACAGGUGGUGCAUGGUUGUCGUCAGCUCGUGUCGUGAGAUGUUGGGUUAAGUCCCGCAACGAGCGUAACCCUUGACCUUAGUUGCCAGCAUUCAGUUGGGCACUCUAAGGUGACUGCCGGUGACAAACCGGAGGAAGGUGGGGAUGACGUCAAAUCAUCAUGCCCCUUAUGACCUGGGCUACACACGUGCUACAAUGGAUGGUACAAAGGGUCGCGAAACCGCGAGGUGGAGCCAAUCCCAAAAAACCAUUCUCAGUUCGGAUUGCAGG